GAACUGCAUAUUUUCUGUAUUUGCAUGGCACUCCUUUAUACCACAAUGAUGGCUUUUCCAAGAUUAUAAAUAUGAAACAUGUAAACAGGCACAGUUACUUGUCAUCACAAGGAUCAGAAUUCAAGUACCAGAGUAGUCCUAACUCCUAAAUCAUCCCAAUUUGUCAAAAGUACAUAAAGCUUUCGCUGAUGGACACAAAUUGUUCAGAAAAAAUCCAGUUACCACACUAAUCAGCCAUAGAUUUCUGACGUGCUUUCAGAAGGAACAUAGAUGCAAUGGUAGGUAAAUUUUGCUUUUAAAUUCCCUUGCAACAGAUACAAAUUGCAUCAUCAGAUCUGGUUCAAUGAAACACAGACAAUAUUAUCUCAAGG
This is a long non-coding RNA of Saccostrea cuccullata (small rock oyster), 371 nucleotides long. RefSeq lists it as uncharacterized. The transcript has 4 exons. The record is from RefSeq and is a predicted model, not a curated record. NCBI's taxonomy places the organism in Eukaryota, Metazoa, Mollusca, Bivalvia, Ostreida, Ostreidae.